UGCUGGACUGGAGAGUGUACACCAUAGACUGGAGACUCUGAGGGUGGAUGGCAGAGAAAACAAGGCCACACCUGACAGACAUGAAGGACAUCCGUCUGAGGACGCCAGAGAGGAUCAGCUGUGUCCUGAUGAUCCAGAGAGGUUGAAGCAGCAGCAGCUUCUGUGUGGAG
This is a long non-coding RNA of Micropterus dolomieu (smallmouth bass), 170 nucleotides long. RefSeq lists it as uncharacterized. NCBI's taxonomy places the organism in Eukaryota, Metazoa, Chordata, Actinopteri, Centrarchiformes, Centrarchidae. The transcript has 3 exons. The record is from RefSeq and is a predicted model, not a curated record.